Calidris pugnax (ruff) is the source of this 683-nucleotide long non-coding RNA. RefSeq lists it as uncharacterized. The record is from RefSeq and is a predicted model, not a curated record. The transcript is spliced from 3 exons. NCBI's taxonomy places the organism in Eukaryota, Metazoa, Chordata, Aves, Charadriiformes, Scolopacidae.
GUUAAAUGCAUCCUGAAAACUCCAGGGAAGCCAGGCACUGUAAAGGACUGCAGAUCUCACCAGAUAAAGCGGCUGUGUAACACUUCCCUCAGGCUGUUCUUUAACACGCCUGUCCUUGCUGAUGUCAUCUUCAAAAUACAAGCACAGGGACAUGUCUGAGGGCUCUGCUGAGCAUCAGACCUUGGAGAGGCAUGGACUCUGGUGGCCACGUCUACACUCACCCUGAGCGAAAAGACCAAAGAUGCUGGUUAUUGACUCCUUACCACCUUACCUCUGCCCAUCUCAGGUAUCGGGAUGUGCCUUUCUCUGCCUUCUAGAAACUGACUGGGACUUGUGUCACAGAAUCCCAGAAUCCCAGGCUGGCAGAGGUUGGCAGGGAGACCACACAGCCUCUGGAGACCAUCCAGUCCAACUCCCUGCCAGAGCAGGGUCACCCAGAGCAGGUUGGACCAGAACAUUUUGAGUAUCUCCAGAGAUGGAGACUCCACACCCUCUCUGGGCAGCCUGUUCCAGGGCUCUGCCACCCUCAAAGGAAAGGUGUUUUUCAUCGUGUUCAGAUGGAAUUUUCCAUGUUCCACAUCCUGUUCUGGGCAUCACCGAGAAGAUUCUGGCCCCAUCCUCUUAACACCUGCCCUUUAGCUAUUGCUCAGCAUCAAUGAGAUCCCCUCUCAGUCUUCUCUUCU